AUUGACCGCUGGCGGCAGGCCUAACACAUGCAAGUCGAGCGGAGCGGCGGACGGGUGAGUAAUGCCUAGGAAUCUGCCUGGUAGUGGGGGAUAACGUCCGGAAACGGGCGCUAAUACCGCAUACUAUCAGAUGAGCCUAGGUAGGAUUAGCUAGUUGUUGGGGUAAAGGCCUACCAAGGCGACGAUCCGUAACUGGUCUGAGAGGAUGAUCAGUCACACUGGAACAGAGGCACGGUCGAGACUCCUGCGGGAGGCAGAAGAGGGGAAUAGUGGACAAUGAGCGAAAGCCUGAUCCAGCCAGGCCGCGUGUGUGAAGAAGGUCUUCGGAUUUUAAAGCACUGUAAGUUGGGAGGCGUUACCAACAGAAUAAGCACCGGCUAACUUCGUGCCAGCAGCCGCGGUAAUUC
Molecule: ribosomal RNA, 407 nt
Filed under: uncultured bacterium
Lineage: Bacteria
Description: partial 16S ribosomal RNA
Rfam family: Bacterial small subunit ribosomal RNA
Source: RNAcentral